Triticum aestivum (bread wheat) is the source of this 1742-nucleotide long non-coding RNA. RefSeq lists it as uncharacterized. The transcript is spliced from 3 exons. NCBI's taxonomy places the organism in Eukaryota, Viridiplantae, Streptophyta, Magnoliopsida, Poales, Poaceae. The record is from RefSeq and is a predicted model, not a curated record.
CUCCCAAGGGAAAAAAAUGCCCCGCAUGAGCAGCCUCCGCUCGCCGGCGGCGGCGCCGCUAGACGACGACGACGACCUUCUCCCAGAGAUCCUCCUCCGCCUCGCCCCGCAGCCCUCCUCCCUUCCCCGCGCCUCCGCCGUAUGCAAGCUCUGGCGCAGCCUCGCUUCUGACCCCGGCCGGCUUCUGCCGCCGCUUCCGCGCGCACCACCGCCGCAACCCUCCCCUCCUCGGCUGCUUCGUCAUGGAUUCUCUCCACGUCCACUUCCAGCCUGCGCUGGAUCCACCCAGUAGAAUCUCGCAAGGCCAGUUCUCCUUCCCAAUCGCUGCCGGCAAGCGCUUCCUGCUCCUCGGAUGCCGCCAUGGCCUCGUACUCAUCUUGGACGGCCCUAUUAGUAAGCAGCGGAAGCUCGUGGUGUGGGACCCCGUCACCGGUGACCAGCACCACCUAGGCAUUCCCCCAGGGUUCAACACGGUAACUUCCUAUGUUGGUGCGGCGGUGCUUCGUGCUCCCGGAGACAUCCACCAUUUCCAGGUGGUCUUGGUAGGCAACAGCACCAUACAAGAUAUACACAAGCCGUCGCCUCUGUUUACUCGUCGGCGACUGGUGUAUGGGACAAUCUCAUUUCAACACCACUUCCGUUCGAGGAUUCUAACGGGUUUCCAUCCAGGAUUUUCUUGAGCAUGCCUGCUGUGAUGGUUGGGGGUUCCUUUUAUUGGUUGAUUUCUGGGGAUUCUCAAGGAAUUCUUGAGUUUGAUUUGGACAGGCGGAGCCUAUCUUGGAUACCCAUGCCAGUGGAACACAAUGGUGGCAUGGGCAAUGGCAAUAUUUGGGUUAUGCUGGCAGAGGGUGGUGGCCUUGGUUUACUCUUCCUCAGAGGCUUUUGCGCUCAAUUAUGGAAGCAAAAGGCCGAUUGCAAGGGUGUUGCUUCAUGGGUGCUGGGAAGAAGUAUUGAUCUGGACACGGUACUUUCUUUGAAUUCAGAGGUUGAGAGAAUGUACCCAUUGGUAGUAGGGUUUGCGGAGGAUAAUAAUGUGGUGUUAUUGUGGACAUAUAUCGGUGUCUUCAUGAUUCAGUUUGAACCAUUGCAAUUCAAGAAACUUUUUGAAUCCAAAGCCUGGUAUCGUUAUUAUCCAUUCGAAGGAGUCUAUACUGCAGACACAGGCAUUGGUGGUGCACAUGAUGGAGCUAAACUUUUGAGCAAUACAUAAUAUGAUUUCUCCGGAUAGACAUGCUAAUGUGAUGUAUUGAUUGAGCAGGUAUCAAGAGGUACUUUUUGGUGCCUGAGAUCAACAAAUGGAUUAUCUGCUGUAGGUUUCUCCAUUCUGUAUGAUGUGCAUGGGGCCUGUGAUGUGCUCCACAAGGACAUUGACCGUCUGUGUGUCAUGCCCUGGUGAAUGUUAUGUGGACUAGUAGGGAUUAACAUGUCCUGUUCAACUGUAACUGGGAUUUAAUCUUCUACGCCAUGAACUUGUCCCCAUUAUCUGAUAUCUGCACAUCAUUCCAACUGGCGUGGAGAUUAACUAACUUGUUUCUGUUAAUGCAUUAGCAUUGUCCCUGUUCGUCAGUUAAACUUGCAGUUCAUUUGCUCCAUGCCGUCAAAACAAUCUUGAGUUGAUCUUGCUCAUAUUUUGUGUUCGCGCAUAUCAUACCGGUAUCUUCUGCGCGCGUCUGCUAAAGGCGUUUCAUUUGUUUUUGUGUGUGCUGAACUUCGUAUCUUGAAACAGAUAGAGUUGCUGCUGG